AUAGAAACUGUUAAAGUUCUCAGUUGAUGUCAGUUUUUUUACAAUUGAAUUUAUUGAUAAAGCACGAGUUCACCCUUCAUAGGGUAAGGACGUGUGUAGUCAGCGCUGCCCGCUCACGUGGCUGUGGUCUCUUGACCAAGGAGACAUCUGCCAGCCUGGUUUGUCGGGCCCUUCUCCAUCUCCUCCCCAUCUGGAUUUAUCAACAUCCUCCCACCAACAGUACAGUGCAAAGAUUGACGAUCAACCCACAACUGAUAUACAAAAGUGACAAUUUCAACUUGAAAGGAAGAAACAACUGUUAGAGAGACGAUCAGUACUUAGCUGUCAAUGUUGACUUGACGCACCCAGCCUGCGAUACACUCGCCACCCCCAACACUGGAUGAGAAGCCAAGAAACACAACUACACCAGGAGAGAAAUGAGGACUCCCUACCCCACCCAGAGUGGAAUGGACACAAGGGAGUCUCAGUGAGGUGAUACUAACCGAAAGAUCUCCAGAUUCCUCACGGGCGCGGGCCUCUUCAAGCAGGGAAUCUGCUGCCAGGCAGAGGGUCUCACAGUUACCGCCAGUCUCACUCUCCGUGAACAUCCAAAGAAAACGGGCGACUAUGGAGGUGUGAACAUCUCAGCGGAGUUAUCCUUAGCUCAUCCCAGAACUCUUAGAAAACGGCGGGAGUGAGGUGUGGUCUACCCGUGGACUCCAGAAGUCUGGGGAUCUCGUGCGAGGCUAGACGCAGCAACAUCGUUCAUCCAGCUUUUGUUGUGCGUAACCCCACGGCCUCCUGAGACGCGCCGCCGCCUUAUGCACAAGAGACGUUGGAGCUAAUAUUCCGUGGAGUAGAGGCCAGCCCCAUCCCUCCACGGAGCGGGCAACCGACACCCUUACGGGGUGCUGACGGUGGGCGGGACAAGGUGAGGCGACGCUACAGUAAUUGUCACCUGCACGAGACAGACAGAGAGACAGAUGGUCGCCGCCCAGCAAACACGACGCCACACCCCCCCAUCUGACGACAGCCAAGCCUAAGAUGUAUGGGCGUGUUGAGACUCGCCCACUCUCUCACUGUUACCAAAACGACACCAGAGGAGACCUAGGCCGUAGUGAGGUGUGUGUGUGUAUGUAAUAAUAAUGUGUGGGGGGCUAAGAGGGUCAUUGUCAGGGCCUCUUCCCUCUCCACACCAGUGAUCCCAGUAACACGCCUCUCAUCGUGGCUGGAGGUGAUGAACAUGUGGGGCAGAUAACAGGUCUGGCAUCGUGGGAGUGUGGUGGUGGUGCCCAGGGCGGUGUGGCUGGAGGGUGGGAGAGAGCGGGAGUAACAUUGUGGUUCUCAUAUACAAAUUGCACAACUCAUCCUCCUCAUACCAACAUUACUACGCCGCCGACAGCAAAACACACACACACACACACUAACUUUCUCACUAAUUAAAUUGCUCGGUGAGAACGCUACUUGUUAUUGCGUCCCAGACCUGCAGCCCUCCUAGCCCAUUUCCUUGCUCUGCUUCACUACAAAAACGAAAACUUUGUCAACACUAACUCAGGAACAACACUGCUGUCUGUAGUUUAUGUACUGAACGUUAUGUAUAUAUAUAUAUACUGUACUCGGAUCAAAUAAAGUUUUACAAUA
RNAcentral lists this long non-coding RNA (1620 nucleotides) under Homarus americanus (American lobster). RNAcentral describes it as "uncharacterized LOC121870650, transcript variant X1". Lineage: Eukaryota; Metazoa; Arthropoda; Malacostraca; Decapoda; Nephropidae. The record is from RNAcentral.